Aquila chrysaetos chrysaetos is the source of this 1065-nucleotide long non-coding RNA. RefSeq lists it as uncharacterized. The transcript has 4 exons. Lineage: Eukaryota; Metazoa; Chordata; Aves; Accipitriformes; Accipitridae. The record is from RefSeq and is a predicted model, not a curated record.
CCCCUCUGCUGUAGAGGGGGGGCAGUGAUGGAGCGGCUUGGUGGGCAUCUGGCGGCCAGCCGAGGUCAACCUGCUACACUGGCUAUCUAUGUUGAAUUCAACAAGCUUGUCACUGUUCCUCAUUCACUAUUGUAUAAAUAUCAGCAGGAGCAUGUGUUGGAGGAAACAGAAUAGGAGCUGUUGCAUAAGACAGAGCAGAUCUAAUAGGGUGCUGUAGCAAUCAUCCUGUGCUCAGGAGGUGGGGAUCCAGAAGAUGCACAGCACUUCAUGUAAAGGGAAAUUAUGAUAAAGGGGAUGUCUUCCUCCCUCACUGGCACAUGGCCAGGGUGAAACCUGAAGAGAGAAACCAGUGGAAUGAAAGAAAGCUGCUAAAUUACAGACCUAUGGGCAUUCAGGGUACUGUGCGAGUAAAUUAAGCAAUCUUGGGCAACCUUCCUGCGCUGAGUUGCUGCUGGGUGUUUGGAAACAGUGCAGGUCCAGCAGUGUUGAUGAGAUGAGUGCGCACUCUGUCCCACUGUUUUAAAAUCAUGUGGCCCAAACAGAGCAAAAUCCAGCAAGGCUAGAAAUGAAAGCUAAAGCAGCGUCUAAAAGAUCUGUCAUUAGACCUGACCUGCUCAGAUAUUAGCAACGUGCUGCUAUGGAUGGUCCUGCUUCAGCUAUCAACCAACCCAAGUGCCUACAAAAUGAAACUGGAUCAUUUAUGAAGCUAUGUGCUGCUGGUGACAUAUGUAUGUGUGUGCUUUUAGAAAAACUUGAUAUGGGGAAAUCCAAGCAUCUCUAUGGAAAAGAUGGCUAAGUGGCCAGCUUUAAGGUGAUAGGAGUCUUGAAUAAUGAUGAGUGGUAAAAAAACUUUAAGGCCUUUUAUUUAUUUCAUAAUGAAACAUAAUGUUAGCAAGUUAUAUUUGAAAGAAAUUAUUAAUUUGCCAGUUCUUUUGGAAUUUGAGAGCAUAAAUUGAAAGUUUCCUACCUCCUGUCCACUGAGGGGAGGACGUGUUUUGUUUUCAUUUCCAUUCCAGUUCUGAGAGUAAUAUUGAUGUAUGUGUCUUGGUUUCUCAUAGAAUAAAG